CAGCAGCCGCGGGAAUACGUAGGGUGCGAGCGUUAAUCGGAAUUACUGGGCGUAAAGCGUGCGCAGGCGGUUGUGUAAGACAGGUGUGAAAUCCCCGGGCUCAACCUGGGAACUGCAUUUGUGACUGUAGAGCUGGAGUGCGGCAGAGGGGGAUGGAAUUCCGCGUGUAGCAGUGGAAUGCGUAGAUAUGCGGAGGAACACCGAUGGCGAAGGCAAUCCCCUGGGCCUGCACUGACGCUCAUGCACGAAAGCGUGGGGAGCAAACAGGAUUAGAUACCCGCGUAGUCCCUGUCUCUUAUAC
Molecule: ribosomal RNA, 301 nt
Filed under: uncultured bacterium
Lineage: Bacteria
Description: partial 16S ribosomal RNA
Rfam family: Bacterial small subunit ribosomal RNA
Source: RNAcentral